AUGGCACUGAAGCGUCUCUCAGAUUUUUUAAUAAGAAAGUUGUUCAGGUUGCGGUACACCAUAUGGCCAGAGACCUUCGUGUACUUUGAGAAGAGCUCUACUGUGAGAGAAGUCCGCGCUGAGAUCAUUAAAAGCCUAAAGGAUCGCGUGAGGAUAAAGGAGUCUGAAGAUGAGGAGGAGUGUGAUGUGAGAAUGUACUUCUGCCCCAUUGUUUCCCGCGCGGGAACCGAUAUCAGCGCUGUUCUCUCCAGGGUUAGGGCUGACAAACCCGCCAUCGUAAUAGUGCUGCAACAUACCUUCGACGAGCAAGCAGUUGUACCAAGUUGCAGAGAAUAUGAGAGGGAGAAGCGUGUUUUUGUGACCUUCCUUUUCUCUGAGGACAAGGGACUUCUGGUCUGUCAGAAGAAUACCGAAGACUUUCUAAAAGCAACACAUUUUUUAAAUAGGUGGGCCCCCAAAAGGAUAAACAAACAGGAAAAAGACAGAUUCAGAAGAAGAAUCCUGAUGGCCAUUACCUGUGGAUGCAUUUUGUGGGGAUUGUAUCGUUAUUAUGUACUAUUGCCAAAGGUAUUGGAGUGUGUUUAACAUUGGGUGGUACGCAUUGGCUGAAUUUAAUCAAAUCCCACCCUUCACUCCUUUAAAAAAAAAAAAAACAUUGUGUCCUGUGGUUUUAGUUUUGUCUACUAAAAGCGCUUUUUCCGAUGGUGAUCUUUUAUUAAAAGAACAAGAAAAGAAAAGAAACAAGACAUUAUCCAAAAGUUGGUAACAUUGCAGUAUAUUGUUAUUGUUGCGAUUCACUACUCUCAUCACUGUUUAAAGCCAGUGUUGUGCCAAAUUCAGCACCCCGCCAGAAAAAGCACCCCCUCUUGGGAGCGCACACCUACGUCUUCAUAGCUUUAACUUUACUUAGAAAAUGGAAAUACCCAAGAUACUGUUCUAAGCUACACUAACUCAUAGGAAAUAAUAUAAAAGAAACAACUGCAGCCUCUUCCGAGAGGGGGUGCUUUUCCUGACUAUUGGUUUAGGCCUAAUUUCCGGUCUUGUUUGAAACAACCACUGUAUAUAUAUUUUCCUGUUUAAUUCAUGGUAAACAUACAAUGUCCUGCACAUUCUAACCCUUGUAAUAAGCAACAAGUAACAGCAUAAUUUAGAAUAUUAAAUACUGCUCUUCACUUAGUAAAGCUAAUAGUAAAGUCAUGUAAAAUCAUGUCACUUGAAUGUGUGUUAAAGCAUAGUCUUCAUGUCUUCAGUCUUUUUUAUAAACAUUUAAACACAGAAGUAAAUAAAAAAAAAUUAUAAUGAGUAAAUGUACUGACA
Molecule: long non-coding RNA, 1317 nt
Filed under: Astyanax mexicanus (Mexican tetra)
Lineage: Eukaryota; Metazoa; Chordata; Actinopteri; Characiformes; Acestrorhamphidae
Description: lncRNA (ENSAMXG00005019883.1)
Source: RNAcentral